Long non-coding RNA from Homo sapiens (human), 691 nucleotides. Ensembl annotates it as BACH1 intronic transcript 2. Its record names the gene BACH1-IT2. Lineage: Eukaryota; Metazoa; Chordata; Mammalia; Primates; Hominidae. The record is from Ensembl.
GAUGCCAAGCAGUAUGUUUAUACUUCUCUAAAAUGUAUUUUUCUCUAUAUAAAUAGUGUUUUUGUUAACUCUCACCGGCUCCAGUCUCAACUUUUGCCUCUAAUUUUUCCCAUAAUAUUCACUAACUCUAGUGAUAGCUGUCUAUGCGCAUUGUACUGAGACUAAUUCAGAGAGUGGGUUGGAUGAACUUUGGUUUGAUUUGUACGUAAUUGUUAAAAACUGUGUUUAAGAAAACAGUUGUACCCUUGGCAAAACCUGGAAGUCUCUAUGUUAACAAUUUUCCCAAUUUUUGUUUUAGGAAGCCAUUCUGCAUAUUAUGUUUUUAAAUAAAAGGAUUUGACUUUGGGCUGACAAUUUAGCAUUUAACCACUGUCUCCGCACCAGUUCCACAAGAGCAGGGAUUUAGAUUAAUUGGAAAAACCUCAUUGGUUUCUGAUGGAGGGGGCAUUCAUAGAAACAACCUACUGACAACUAAGGAGCUACUGCGAUGGGAUGGGCAGCCUGCAGCUUCACUCGGUGGGCAGCCUCCACAGAUGAGAAGAUGGAGCCUCCACAAGGCACAUAGCUGGCCUGUUGAUGCCACUGCUGUUGAAGUCUAUGUGAAUGGUGCCCCCUGGUGGAAGGAAAAAGAGAAUGGGACGCCAGGAAUGUCAGAUGCUUUUCAGCCUCUCCCCUGCUCUCACGCCUAGAA